This 13354-nucleotide long non-coding RNA is filed under the name Marmota monax (woodchuck). The stretch from base 921 to 992 matches the Rfam family "tRNA". The record is from RNAcentral. Lineage: Eukaryota; Metazoa; Chordata; Mammalia; Rodentia; Sciuridae.
UAGAGUAUAUAUUUUGAUUUCCCCAUGGGGCAGCCACUCAGCACUCAUUUAUUUAAAUGAUACUUGCAGUAUUGCCUCUUUUCUAUGCCAGUUAUUCUGUCAUUUAUUUUACCAUCACAAAAUCCAGGGGAGGUUAAAAAAAAUUUUUUUUAAGUCACUAAAUGAAUUCAGUUGGUAAUAUGAGAAAAGAAUGUUCUAACAGCUAGGAGAGAUUCUUUUGACCUGUUGUGAGUUUGAUGUUGAAGUUCCUAUAGGAUUUUUUUUAAUAUCAUUAAACUAAUAACUAGCCAACUCAGGAUUUUUUGCAAUAGAUAAGCACCAUUAAAACAGGUAUAUCAGAAAGCACUUCCCAAUUCACGUAAAAAAGUAAAAUAUAAGAUUCACUUUUAGUGAGUUGUGUUAUUUAGUCUUCUGGAAUAUUGACCUCUUUUAAGUUUGUACUGAAGACAACAUUCAGCAAACAUUACUGAGCAUAUCCUGUGCAUAGCAAUGUUUUAGUCCAUUUUUAAAUAGAUACUUUAGCUAUUCAGAGUGUCUUUCCAUUAGCUAAGUAGAUUACUGUAGCUCCUAACAGAGAAUAUUUUUUCAAGAAAGUUCCAUAGUAAAUAAUGCAUCAAAAAGGAAGAUCACAGAUAAAGGUAGCAAUCACAGCAAAGUUGCAGCCCUGCUUGGAAAUACCACAGGAUAAUACCAUGAAAUAGCACUAAAAUUUCAAGAGAAAUCUACAGGAAGAGUGUACUUUAAAACAACUUCUGAUGAGGCCAAAGGUUUAACACUGUCAAAUGACUUGUUUUCUCAGUCAUGCAGCACCUGGGAAGGACAAACUGUUAAUGUUUAUCUUAGGGGGUUAUAGCAAUGAAAGAAUGGAAGUGUUGUGGAAAAGAAAACAAUCUAAAUUACUUUGGAAAGAAUACUGGGCUAGGGAUGUAGCUCAGUAGUAGAGCACUUGCCUAGCAUACAAGAGGCUCAAGGUUCGAUCCCCAGUAUUACAAAAAAACAAAAAAAUACUGAAGUUGAAAAUAAAAUCCAUAGAACAUGGUAAUUAGAAACAUUGGUUAAAAACAAAAUUAGAAAAAUUUGUUAGACAAAAUUAUUAAGUAACUGGAAGUCCAAGAUAAAAGGAAUUAAGUAUGGGAAUGAUAUAUUUCCUUUCCAGUUUAGAGUUAAUAUUGAGCUACAAUUACAUGUAAGACAAUGUUAGGUAUGGUGACUGAUCACAUUAGUGAAAUAGGAAAUAUGACCACAGUAAUGCAAAUAAGCCACAUGGUUACUAACUCCUUAUGUGUUUUUAUUUGGCCUUGGAAUGUGUUUUUUGUACUUAAUCUCCCUAGGGCUUUAUUUGAUAGUCUGGGAACUUAUUUCAAACACUGUGAAGAUGUGACUCAGGAAGUGCUGAGAAGCAGUGCACUGUGUUUUUCCUGACCCCUGUUCAACAUCAUCCUGCAGCCCACUCCAUGCUGAGAAUAGACAACUCUCAUCUGAGGCUGAGACUAACCAGAUUAUGCAGAACUUUCUUCUCUCCAUCACUGCCUGGAGCUGGGGUAGUCAUUAAGCAUUUGGGUUUCUAAGAAUUCCUUGAAGAGCUAUGCAAAGAGAAUAAGUAAAUGGCCUGUUAGUCAAACACAUUUAUUACUAUUAUAAUUAGAAAGGAGAAUAAUAUCAUUAAAUUAAAAAUGGAGUUUGUGGGGAAUUCAGAUAAUCAUCCACUUGUGGUUAAUAGAAAUUUGAAUUUAUUAAAUGAGACUAAUUAUAUUAAUCACAUUUUAUGUGAAAUUUGUAUGUUCUGAUUUUUAUUUUAAUGAGAAAGCACUUUGAAACUUUAGAAUUCUGCAAGAUAUAUUCCUUUGAAUGUUUAGCUUUAGGAGUGGUUUUGUUUUGUGUUCUUUUUGUGUUUUUUCUUUGAAUACUGAUUCUAUGUGUAAUUAGAAUUAAGUUUUGAUAAAUAAAAUCAUUUUAAAAUCACUAAGGAACUAGCUAUUUAAAUGAACACUAAUGAGUCAUUUUGCUAACGUAAUCUCCUCCUGUUUUAUUGUUUGUUUGUUUGUAAUCUAAAAUUUUACUUUGCAGGUUUUGUGUUUUCUUUUAAGCAGUGUAUACCUGCAGGCUCAAAUUAUUUAAAAAUCUGUUUAUGAACACUUUGAGAAAGAUUAAGCCUUGUUUUUGCUUCUCUGUCUUAAAGAAGGGAAAAUAACCAUUGUUUCCCUCUUCUAUCUUAAUUUCACUUUCAUCACUCAACAGAAAAUAUAUAACUGCCUUAGACCUUUGUUGGGACUUUCCCCAGCCCUCACUAUUACACCAGCAUGUUCUGGUCAUUUUGGUAACAUUGAAAAUCUUUGAUUGUUGCACUCCUUAAUAUUCAAAAACUGAAUUUCCUAAACAUUUGUGAAUGAUUUUUAGUGUGUAUUUUGGUUUGGGUAAUUAUUCCUCUUUUUCUUCCCUGCCCCAGUUGAAUGGAUUGCAGCAGUUACCAUUGCUGCCGGGACGGCUGCAAUUGGUUACUUAGCUUACAAGAGAUUCUAUGUCAAAGAUCAUAGCAAUAAAGCAAUGGUAAACCUUCACAUCCAGAAAGACAAUCCCAAGAUAGUACAUGCUUUUGACAUGGAGGAUCUGGGAGAUAAAGCUGUGUUCUGCCGUUGCUGGAGGUCCAAAAAGGUAAGGAUAAUAGGUCAUACAAAACUGUUAUCAAUGUAACAUUUCUUUUUAAUCUACUCUGUCAAACUUGUAUUACCAGAUUGUGAAGACACCCUUUUUUCUUUUUUUUUUUUUUUUAAUUGCAUCCUGUUCUUCUGUUUUCCAUAUAUUUACUACUAACAUAUAUAUAACUACCAUUCAGUCAAAUUAUACCAUACCCUCAAUUGAGUUCAGGUGAAUGCAACCAUAUUCUUGACCAAAUAAAAGAGAAAAAUCUCUUUAAUUUACUCUUAGGAUUUCCUCCCCAAGUGGAUCUUAGUUUCUUCUAUCCCAGGAAAUGGGAGUGUGCAGCUUGAGUACAACAAGAAACAAAAGAAAUACUUUUUUUUUUUUUUUUUUUUUAAGAUUAACAGCUCUGGAUACUAGGACAAGUUUUUAGAAAUUUCAAAAGAAACUUUUGAAAAUUACCCUAUCUUAUUGGCAUCCCAAACCUUCUAUCAGCUGUUAACUCCUUUAAUUAAAAAUCUAACAAUACAAGAUUCUUUAAAAUCUUAUUUAUUUUAUGAGAAUUGUAUUUCAGAUUUCUUGGGGAAAUAUCACCUACGGUACCUUUUCAGGUUUAGAUAUGAUGGCAGCUAGUGAGCCAGACAAUAGAAUCCUCUCCUGGGUUCAUCUUUUUCUUGAAUGACUUCAGAAUUUCUGGUAUAUUGUUAGAAAUACAGUGAAAACAUCGUAUGUGCUACCAUUAUUAGCAUUCAAGUAAAAUUUGUUUCACCAAAAAUAAUAGUAAAAGAUUCCAAAAAAACUGAUGUUUCUAGGGUGGGGAUGUAGCUUAAUAUUAGAGUUCUUGCCUAGCAUGCACAAAGCCAUGGGUUUAACCAAGUUCUGCCAAAAAAAAAAAAAUAAUUAAAAGUGUUCAUUUUUGAAAGUAUAUUAUGUUGGUGACCCUUCCCACAGUGAAGAACCAUUUAAUGAAUCAUAUUAUCAAAAAUGUGGAAGAGGGCUGGAAUUGUGGCCAGUGCUAGAGUGCUUGCCUAGGAUGUGUGAGGCACUGGGUUCAAUUCUCAGCACUGCAUAUAAAUAAAUAAAGUCCAUUGACAGCUAAAAAAAAUUUUUUUAAAUGUGGAAGAAACUGUGAGCUUGGUUCUAAAAAGUAUAUUUCUCGAAUCUAUUUCUCCCAAAUGAUCUAUGUACAAUCCAGUGAUUCAGAGCUAGAUUUUGUUACUGUGUUCAGAAAUUGAUGAAUAUAUGGAAUAUGAACCAAAAAUUAACAGACCCAUUACAACAAAUUGUACCUUAAGAAUAACACUGUAUAUUUAGAAUAGGCUUCCUAGUAAGUACUUGUGGGGUUGCUAGAAAAUAAUCUCUUAAUAGUAUUCCAUAGGCUAAACUUGGUUUAUUUUUUUAAACAAACCUUGUCUAUAGUAGGUGCCUCUCUUUUUGCUCAUUAAAAUAUGAAAAAUAAUGCAUUUCAAAAUUACAGAAUUUCUGUUGGUGUUGCAAUAGAUCUUCAGUUAAUGAUCUUAAAUAUAAGUUCAUUUACUGCUUACUAUAUAUAUGUACAUAUAUAGUAAAACAGUAGUUUUCUUGGAAGAGUAUAAUAAAUGCAAUACAAAUGUUCUAAAUGAGAGAAAAGAAAGAGCUUACACCAUGGACUAAAAUUUUCUGGGAAAGCAUAAUAAUUUAUGUUUGGGAGUUAAAUUUCCCCUGAAAAGAUAGGUGGUAUAUGAAUAUGCUGCAAGUAUUCGGAACCCAUUUUCAAAAUCUUCAAUAAAAGGCUCAUAUGAGGAAAGGGGUAUUGGGUGAAAACCCUAGUCUGGUCCUUGCACGAGCCCCUCUUUCCCCCAGGGAAUAAAUCUAAAUUGAGGAGAAUCUGAGUGACCGUGUGAGGAAUUUGUCCUUCCAGGCAUGCAGAAGUGGUAGGAUACAUAGUUUUCAGCAGGGAUUUCAGAUAUAAAGUUAUAAUACUUACAUCAGAGUGUUAGCUGUAUAAGUGUGUGUCCGGGGGUGGGGGGACAAACAGUUAAACAUUUUGAGGGAAAUAUCAGCCAAAUUUAGUGACUUGUGUUUGGAUGACUGGGGGAGCAAAACUAAAGGAACCAAGUGUGGGAAUUAGAAAGAUUAUGUCAUUAACAAAAAUAAGGAAUUCAGGUAAAAACCCGAUUUUCCAGAACAGCAAUAACAAGUUUAAUUUCAAAGAGUGUAUUUGAGGUGACAGUUGAAUGGAAAUGUACAGCAGAUGAUCUAAAAUGUGGGAGUACAGCUGAGACAUCAGGGUUGGAGAUAGAAAUCAGAAAAACUGAUGAGUCGAGUGUAAGAAUGUAACUGAUCCUUGGUACUGAUAAAAAUCAAAAGCUAAGUAUGAAAUCUUAGAGAAUUUUUUGCAUUUUGGAAAGAGGAACAAGAGUCAAUUGAGGGGGCUGGGGUUGUGGCUCAGCGGUAAAGUGCUUGCCUAGCACGUGCGAGGCCCUAGGUUCGAUCCUCAGCACCACAUGAAAAUAAAUAAGUAAAAUAAAGGUAUUGUGUCCAACUACAUCUAAAAAAUAAAUAUUUAAAAAAAAAUAAAAAUAAAAAUAAAAAAAAAGAGUCAAUUGAGGAGGUGAAAUAGGCCAGAGGGAUUACAAUAAAACUAAAAAUAUUGUGGCUUUAAAGUGGAAAUGGAAAAUUCUCAAAGAUUAUUAGUGAACAUCUGCCUAUACAAAAACAAAAACAAUCAGGUGAAUAAACUAUUGUAGUAGAACAGUUGGAUUAAGCAAGUAGGCAUCUGACCUUUGGUGUCAUUUCAACAGAAUGAUUAAACACUGUGUCUAAGUAGGUUAAAAUGUGAGUUACUAAUAAAGAAAUGCUAUAAGUCUGAGUAUAUGUCAAAAUUACAGUAAAUAUAAAUAGUGAAGGAAAGAAAAAUAAGGUAACUGCUUGAGGGAACUUUAAUAAAGCAUCACUUUGAGGUAAGGAGAGUUUUCCUUUGAUUGGGUUUUCCGAGAGGUAAAAGUGUCCAAUAAAGUAAAUAUGGAUUUUCUUCAACUAAGAUCUCAAUUUUUAUGACAAGAAGGAUCAAGAAUGGACACAAGCUAGUGGUUUAAAUGUUUAUUAGACUUUAUAAUUCAACAAAACAUUCCACUAUUAUUCUUUCAUUUUAUAGAGUUCCCAGAGGGUUAGAAGAGGGACCGCCAUUUCCCAUGGGGAAACUUCAAGAAAUGCCAGAUGACUUUUUGUGUAGGGAGGUGGGGAGUCUAUGGGCAUUCAGUAAUCCUCUUUGCAUGUAGGAUUUGCCAGUUACGAAUUUUCACUUGAGUCUUGGGUACUUGUUAUUCCUGCAUGACUCAAUUAAGGAUUCACUUUGAAUAUAUUCAAGUUAAUGAAUGUUCUUACUCUUCAGACACCUUUGGAAACUCCCCACAUUUCUCAGGUUCCAAAGGUUAUCACACAGCUGCCAAGUGACACAUUUACUGGCUGACUAACAUAAGACUUAAAAUUAACACCUUUGUUGAAAUGGUUGUAUUGAAUUAUAUUCAUUUUUCCCUCAUUCAAACCAGUUGUAUUUAUAAAUAACAAAAUCUAAGCUCCUUUUUACCAAUCAAAAAAUAUCGUGUGAUACAUAUAUUCUUAAGAUGCAAUCACCCAUACCUAAUUGAAUCAGAUCUCUUACUGAUGCACAGUAAUUACACUGUUUAACAUACUCCAUUCCUUCUCUUUCCAGACUUAAUAUGCUGUCUGCUGUUUCAGAAACUGGCCUAUUUUGUAGUAUUAUACAAAAGGGCUAUCCAUAUUUUAAGUAAAAAUGAAAUGAACCAGUACACAAGAGAUUAAAGUAACUUUAGGGAAAGGUACUAUUUGGGAUAGUGGUGUUUUGAAAAGGGGUGAAAGGAAAAGAGAAUAAGAGGAUAAAUGUGAAACUCUGCCUUAUAAGAGAUGGUCUCACUUUCAAAAAGAAAAUGAAAGAAGUUUGUUUGAGGGAAGAGUAUGCACCAUAGUUUUGCUAAAUUUCUGUCAUCCCCCACCCCCCACAUCAAGUAGUGUGUAGAAUUAUUUUCUUUCAUUUAUAACCUGGGGAGUUUGAGUUCUUAAUUUUGUAGGUAGUGGUGACAGCAGGCUUCUGUUUUGGUGAAAGUGUAUGUGUAUGAAUGAAAGAGAGAAAGCUUCCAUCCUAUUAAUGGUUUAGUAGUGGGUUGUAUUGUACUGAGUCCAUUUUUUCAUAGAAGCAAUAUUCCCAAUGUUAGAUCUUUUGAAAACCCAAUUUUGGAUUUAUGGUCUUGUAAAAUCUUAAUUUCUCUAUAUGUAUUUUCAUAUUAUAUCCACUAUCUUGUGUUUUAUUAAAUUAAGGACAUAAAAUGAGUAAAAAAUGUCAUAUUGUUCUCUAAGGUAGUGUCAAAGAUCUCAUUACUUUUAACUUUUUUUCUCAACCAAAGUAAUCAUAUUUCUCAGUUCAGAUAAUGGUAAUGAGCCAAAAUGACCUCAAGUAACUUCCUGGGAACAUAGCAACAAAACUCCCAUUAAAAAUACAAAGUUUAGGGCUGGGGUAUAGCUUAGUGGUAGAGUUCUUGUGUAGUAGGUACAAGGUCCUAGAUUUAAUCCCCAGCACCACACACACAAAAAAAUAAUAAUAAUAAAUAAAGUUUGGAAGAUAAUGUGAUAGUUUCUUUUUUUAAGUGUUUCAGAUAGAAGACACAGAGAAGAGCAUUUAUUUCUAUUUUGAAACUUCUUGAAAAAGACACAAGAUGUAAGGGUCAUUAAAAAAAUAAAUCUUGUGCCUUGUGUUUUUUAUGAAGACCCUGAGAGUGUUACUGUCUUUCCAAGGAAAGAGCAAGGAUCUUUGAUAUUUUUGUGCUUACUCUUUCAUUCUAACCUUUUCUCACACUCUUCUUCCCAGUUUUAAAGAUUUAUAGUUUUCAUAUUGGGUUAAUAGUAUUUAUUUUAUGUACAUCCAGGAAAUUGAGGCAAUUUGAUUAACAAACUUUCUCUGGGUUUUGAUAAUAAAGAAAUACUGGCAUCUUACAAGAAAUUUGGCAGUAUGUCAACUGAAUUAAAAUACCCUUUGAGUUUUUUGUUUAAGUUCUUUACUUGAGGGCUGGGGAUGUGGCUCAAGUGGUAGCGCGCUCGCCUGGCGUGCGUGCGGCCCGGGUUCGAUCCUCAGCACCACAUACAAAGAUGUUGUGUCCGCCGAAAACUAAAAAAUAAAUAUUAAAAAAAAAAAAAAAAGUUCUUUACUUGACAGUUAAACAUAAUUCAGAAUUUUUAAUUUCAGAAGUUUAAAGUUUGAACAAAUUUCAAAAUUUGUUUUUAUUACAUUGCUAUUUAAUACAAAAACUCUUUAUGAAGAUAAGUUUGAAAGCAUAUAUAUAUAUAUAUAUAUAUAUAUUCACUACACAUUUUCUUUCUCUUGCAUAGAAAUAUCAAGCAAGGCACUCCCUGAAAAACAUAAAUAUUUUUAUAUAAUUUGCCUUUUGAAUUUGAAUGCCAAGUAACAUUCAUUCACUUAUACUAUAUUGAGAAUUCUGGAUUAAUUUAAAUAUAUUUUAUUACCAUGUAUAUUGUAUUAAGAAAUUAAUGAUCCUAUCUUGAAAUUACCCAUUUUUAUUCUCUAUUGAAAAAAAGUUUUUAGUCUUUUCAUCAACUUAAAAUUAGAAAUCUGCACUGAAUGGGGCAUGUUCUGAUUUAGUGCAGUAAAUUUUGGAGUCAAAUGAUAAAAGAAAGUACCAUUAAAAGGCACCUGUAGGGCUGGGGUUGUGGCUCAGUGGCAGAACCCUUGCCUAGCAUGUGUGAGGCACUGGGUUCAGUUCUCAACACCACAUAAAAAUAAAUAAAGGUCCACCAACAACUAAUAAAAUAUUUUUUAAAAGGCAUCUGUAUAGGAUAACAUAAAGAACCAAUCAAAUAUAAAUUAAUAGAAGAACAAAAGUGAAUCUAGUAGAGCAGAUGAAGGAGAAUGGGAGAGGAAAGGGAGGACAGGAGAGAAAAUGGGAAAUUAUGAACUGAAAUCGAUUUUCAUGCAUUUUUGUAGCCAAGCGCAGUGGUGUACUAUGGAUGUAGCUCAGUGGUAGAGCACUUGCCUGGCGUGCGUGAGGCCCUGGGUUCCAUCCCCAAUACUGGAGAAAAAAAAGUGUUGCUAAAAAAAAUUAAUUUUAAUACCUAGUUUACAUUUCUUUUGGUACUAAGGAUUGAACCCAAAGGCACUUUACAACUGUGCUCCAUCCACAGUUGUAAAGUGAGUCAGGGUUUUGCUAAGUUGCUCAGCCCAGCCUCAAACUUGCGGUCCUCCUGUCUCACCCUCAUAAGUAGCUGGGAUUACAGGCAUGAGCCACCACUGCCAGGCCCGAGUUUACAUUUUAAAGAUGUAAAAGCGUCAUAUACUAUAAACCUAUUAAAGUAUAUUAACAAGUAUCGAGGAUUUAUUACUCCUUUUUCCCCCCACCCUUUGGCUAGGAUGUUCGAACCCAGGGUAACUUUACCAUUGAACGAUACUCCAGAGGUACAGCUAUUUUGAGACAAGGUGUCUCCCUGAAUUGACAAGGCUGGCCUUGAACUUUCAAUUCUCCUGUCUCAGCCUUCUGAGCUGCUGGGAUCACAGGUGUGUGCUAUUGCACCCAGCCCUUCUUGCUACUUUUUAAAGAAAUGUUUAUUUUUUGUUUGAACAUGAGGGCAGAAAUAGAUUAUUAGAAAAAAAAAAGCAUAUUCAAACUUUAAAUGUUGACUUUCUUAAUAUUUUAUAACCUUUUUUUUUUCUUUUUUUCUUUUUUUUUUUUUUUUUUGGAGCUGGUGAUGCAUCUCUGUGCCUAGCAAACAUAAGGCCCUGUUUUUUAUCUCGGUGCCUCAAGGGAAAACAAGAUUUUCUUUGUAUAUUUCUUUAUAAAUUACUCUUCCUAUUCUUGAUUCUUGUUUCUGGAGGAAGUAAUAUGAGAAAAUAAGUUAGUUUUUGAAGAGAUUAAAACAAAAAUUAAGUGUGCCAUUUCAAUAAGUUAGUUGAGGCUUUUUAUUUAGAAAUGUUUCGUUUUCAGAAAUAUAUUUUAUAAUCCGUGUAAAUAAAACUGUACUAAAAUGCUUUGUGUGCGCUGUUUAUAAAAAUGAAGUCUUUUACAACGUAAACUUUUAUUCUUACUAUAAAAUGAUCUGUUUAUCAAACAUGUCACUUUGAAAUGCUGACCUCUGAUAUGGAAUACAUUUUAGUUUGCUCUUUUUUUUUUUUUAAGAGAGAGAGAGAAUUUUUUAAUAUUUAUUUUUAGUUUUUUGACGGACACAACAUCUUUGUAUGUGGUGCCGAGGAUCGAACCCUGGCCGCACACAUGCCAGACGAGCGCCGCUACCGCUUGAGCCACAUCCCCAGCCCUUAGUUUGCUCUUUAUAGCCUCUUUCCUCAUCUAUGCCAAGAAAAAAACUGAAAUCUUGUGGGUUCAUGUUUUUGUUACAAGGACUUAUUUUUAUUAUGGACAUAUGCCAUAUCCUAGUGAUCUAAAAAAAGAAAUAUGUAGUCUUUUCAUACAUUACAUUUGCACUGCCAUCUACUCCAAGAUAGACUUAUGUCUAGAAAUUUAAGAUAUGCUCAUAUCUUGAAUUUUCCUAUAAUUUUUAAUUAAUUUAUUGCCUGUUUUAAUUAUGUACCAAUAGUUAAAUUAAGAUGGGAUUUCUAUAACAUCAGUCAAAUAUUAUUUUAAUCUUAGAAUUGAGGCUUUGGAGUAUCAUAGUUUGAGAUUAUGUGCCAUCAUAGGUUUCAAGUGUCAGAAAUUAUACUUUGUUCAUUUGAGUAAUGAGGUGAUUGUUAUUUGAAGGGCAAGGUACUGUUACUUUACUCUUCUGAAUAAACUUCUUCAAUGACACAGUAUACCUUCUAUUAAACUAUGAAGCUCACAGAUUCUAGAGUGUAGUUCAAAAUAUCAAGAAAAAUAAAUGCUAGCUCUCACGGUUUGAUGUUAAAUAGAAAUAAAAUGUACAAAUAUAAAAGGAAAGAAAGAAUUUACUGAUAAGUGGACCUCCUAAGUAUAAAAUCCUGAGGAGUCACCAGAAAUGUUAUUGAAUUCUUAUUUUUAUCUUUUAACAAUAGAAAGGAUAUGCUCACACACAAAAAAAAUUAUAUACAGCAAGAAUAUUCAGAUAUGAAUAUUUGGAAAUUAUAUAAAGAAAUAUAAAAUAACAACAGAAAUAAUCUCAGAAGAAUGUGCAUGGGAACUGAAAAUGAAAACUACAAGAGAAAUAAGGCAAAAAAAAUUCUCAAGCUUAUCUAGAAGAAUAAAUAAAUAAAACAUAAUAAAGUUAGCAAAGAAGAAUAAUGAAAGAAAACCCACCCUAUCAAAUACUGGAACUUAUUUUAAAAGCAGUUACCUCUAAACAAUGUGAUAACAAGGAACAUAUAAGUAGGCAUUUUUAUAUGAUUUUAUUUUGAUAAAAUUAUGAAUAAAGGUAUAACAAUUUGAAAAGUGACAACCUCUAGUAAUAUUGAAGCAACAGGCUCUUAAACAGCAUUUUGCAAAAUAUGCCCUACAUGAUUCUGUGAUGAUGGAUAUCAAAGUUAAAAAUGCCCAUAAUCCAGGCAAUUUGAGAAAUUCUAGGUUAAUGAUAAUGUUUUUUACAAAAUGAUUUCUUCAAAAUUAAAAAAAUAUGCUGUGACUCAAGAGUUAUAUAUGUGUUUUAAACAGAAGGAAACUAAAUCAGAAUAACUUGCAGGAUUCAGCUUCUUUGGAAUACUCUGGGAAGUACUAUUAAAAUUUUAAUUUUGGGACUAGGGUUGGCUCAGCAGCAGAGCACUCACCUAGCACGUGCAAGGUGCUGGGUUCGAUCCUCAGCAUCACAUAAAAAUAAAUAAAUAAAGGUAUUGUGUUCAACUACAACUAAGAUUUAGUUUUGUUCCUUUCCCUCCCACUAGAUACCAAAAAGAUCAGUUACAACUAAAAUGUAAAAUCAUGAAAACAAAAUAGAAACUGGGAAUUUAUAUAUAUUCAUCACAACUGUAGAUGCCUCUAUGAACAAUGGUAAAAGGGAAAUAGUAGCAUAGUUGUAUGAAAGUAAAGAGAUUAAAGGUAUGAAAAACUAAACAAAAACUUGGGGGAAAGAUUGCUGCAAAGAUGGUCAGUAGAGAUAGCAUACAAAUUAAUUUUAAAUAAAUAAAAUCUUAUUAAUAGUGCUAGGGGUAUAGCUCACUGGUUGCCUAGCAUGCACAAGGCUCUAGGUUUGAACCCAGCACCAAGGAUGAAGAAAGAGAUUAAUCCUUACAAAUAGGCAAUGGACAUAGUUCACUGGAAACUUAACUAGUAUAUAGACUGAAAUAGGUUUACAGCAUCCAUAAUCAAAUAUCAGUGAAAUUCAACUCCUGAUGUGUCUUAUCCCCAAGGGAUUUCUUCCUCCUACUCAGUAUGUGUAUUUUGCAUGUGCUCCUUAAAAAUCCUAUUUAAAGUUUCAAGAAAAAUCUUUUAAGUUCUGAUGUGUGUGAAUUAAACAUCACUCUAGUUCUGCCAAGCACUAUAUACUGUUUGGGGAUUAGCUGUUCCACAUUCAUUCUCUCUUUCUCUUCUAGUUUCCAUUCUGUGAUGGUGCUCACACAAAACAUAACGAAGAGACUGGAGACAACGUGGGACCUCUGAUUGUCAAGAAAAAAGAAAGUUAAACGGACAAUUUUGAUGCUGCAGACCAACUUGUCAUGAUGUUACCUGAUAAUUUAAUUAGAAUGACUACCACUUCUGUCUAAUUUACCUCCCCUGCGUUCUAGAUGUGUGGUAUAUUGCAAACCUCACCUUUCACAUUCAUGGCAUUUGCCUUACUUGUUGAAACAUCGUGGUGCACAUUUGUUUAAACAAAAAAGGAAAACCAACCUUAUGGCCUAUGGGUUAUUUUGGUCUUGUAAGGAUCCGUUUCUUUAAAUUUAAAAUAAUGGUAUUAGACUAUAGUUGUAUCUUGAGGUUGGUGUAUUAAAUUAUUCUCAAAAUCAUGUAUAUGCAGAUUGUACUUGGAAGUUUCAAAGAAAAUUUUAUCGCCUUUUCAUAUUGCUUAUUUGACCUAGAAAGUGAACAGGGUGUGAUUAAGCUACAUUAAUUUCGUAGUAUAGUCUUAAGAAAAACCUGUUAUAACCUUGAUUUUCUUCUUGACAGUGGUAAUAACACUAAGAAAAUACAGCUUCUGUGUUUUCAACGUUUUCAAUUUAAAUGAACUAUGAAUGUCACUCUACUUAAUUAUAAGUUGACCAGGUCAGUAAUAAAGGGGCAGCAACUUCCUUUGUGUUUAUCUUUAUGGAUAUUUAAUUGAUCCAUUAAAAGAACAAAUAGUAGGAAUUUAGAUCACAGUGAGAAUAGGUUAAAAGUAGUCAUGAAGAAUGUCUUAAAAUAUAAUGCUCCAGAAUUCUAGACCAAGGAGUGGCAAGCACUGGAACUAAGGACGUGGAAGAAACUGAAGCACACAUUUCAAGUCUCUUAAUCACAAAGCCAAACAUCUGUGACGGAAAUAGUAGUCAUAAGACUAGAUCAAAGAUGGGGGAAAAUUUUUUAUUCCUCACUCUGGAUAAUCAAACACAUGGCUUAUAUUAGUAAAGAUACUAUUUGGGAAAGAAAAAAGAAAUUUAUCCUCUUAAAUUGUAUGAUCUUUAUUCUUCAAAGAUUUGAAGACAAAGUGUUUAUGUAAUAUUCUUCAAGACUCAGAUCAGGGCUGGGAUUGUAGGUCAGUGGUACAGUGCUUGCACAAGUGAGGCACUAGAUUCAAUCUUCAGCACCCCAUAAAAAUAAAUAAAUAAAAGGUAUUGUGUCCA